UACGGAGGGUGCAAGCGUUAUCCGGAUUUCCUGGGUUUAAAGGGUGCGUAGGCGGCUUCUUAAGUCAGUGGUGAAAUCCUAGUGCUUAACACUAGAACGGCCGCUGAUACUGGGAAGCUUGAGUCAAGGAGAGGUAAGCAGAAUUUAUGGUGUAGCAGUGAAAUGCUUAGAUACCAUAAGGAAUACCAAUAGCGAAGGCAGCUUACUGGCCUUGUACUGACGCUGAGGCACGAAAGCGUGGGGAGCAAACAGG
This 253-nucleotide ribosomal RNA is filed under the name uncultured bacterium. RNAcentral describes it as "partial 16S ribosomal RNA". It matches the Rfam family "Bacterial small subunit ribosomal RNA", at positions 524 to 776 of the family's 1533-position model. The record is from RNAcentral.